ACAUGUAGGUAUCUUCCCUUUGGUGAGGAAUACACGAGGAAACUUGUGCUAAUACCUCAUAAGUCUUUACGGAGAAAGCUUUAUGCGCCAAAGGAUGAGCCUGCACUUGAUUAGUUUGUUGGUGGGGUAAUGGCUUACCAAGACUUUGAUCAAUAGCUGAUCUGAGAGGAUGAUCAGCCACAUUGGGACUGAGACACGGCCCAGACUCCUACGGGAGGCAGCAGUGG
Molecule: ribosomal RNA, 227 nt
Filed under: uncultured bacterium
Lineage: Bacteria
Description: partial 16S ribosomal RNA
Rfam family: Bacterial small subunit ribosomal RNA
Source: RNAcentral